GUGAGGAAUAUUGGUCAAUGGGCGGGAGCCUGAACCAGCCAAGUCGCGUGAAGGAAGAAGGAUCUAUGGUUCGUAAACUUCUUUUGCAGGGGAAUAAAGUGCAGGACGUGUCCUGUUUUGUAUGUACCCUGAGAAUAAGGAUCGGCUAACUCCGUGCCAGCAGCCGCGGUAAUACGGAGGAUGCGAGCGUUAUCCGGAUUCAUUGGGUUUAAAGGGUGCGUAGGCGGACUAUUAAGUCAGUGGUGAAAUCCUGCAGCUUAACUGCAGAACUGCCAUUGAUACUGAUAGCCUUGAGUUUGGUUAAGGUAGGCGGAAUGUGUAAUGUAGCGGUGAAAUGCUUAGAUAUUACACAGAACACCAAUUGCGUAGGCAGCUUACUGAGCCGACACUGACGCUGAGGCACGAAAGCGUGGGGAUCGAACAGGAUUAGAAACCCGGGUAGUCC
This 445-nucleotide ribosomal RNA is filed under the name uncultured bacterium. Its description in RNAcentral is "partial 16S ribosomal RNA". It matches the Rfam family "Bacterial small subunit ribosomal RNA", at positions 354 to 796 of the family's 1533-position model. The record is from RNAcentral.